AUUUAAUGGACCACCAAAGAUACAAAUGGAUGGCUGUUUUUAGAGACUUCCGAAACUGCUACUGAAGACUUCCUCUUCUUUUUGAGAAGAAAGAAGUGGUAUUAGAAGAAGAAUAAAAAGAAAACAGAAAAGAGAAAUUUUAGAGGGAAGGGUGUCAAAAAUUGUUGGGAUUUAU
RNAcentral lists this non-coding RNA (175 nucleotides) under Heterosigma akashiwo. The record is from RNAcentral. Lineage: Eukaryota; Raphidophyceae; Chattonellales; Chattonellaceae.